AGAGUUUGAUCAUGGCUCAGAAUGAACGUUGGCGGCGUGGAUUAGGCAUGCAAGUCGUACGGGCCGCAAGGCCAGUGGCGCAAGGGUGAGUAAGGCGACGGUAACCAACCCCAUGAUUGGGCAUAGCCGCGGGAAACUGCGGGUAAUACCCAGCGAUGUCGGCCGAGGGCAUCUCCGGCCGACCAAAGCUCCGGCGUCGU
RNAcentral lists this ribosomal RNA (200 nucleotides) under uncultured bacterium. RNAcentral describes it as "partial 16S ribosomal RNA". It matches the Rfam family "Bacterial small subunit ribosomal RNA", at positions 8 to 221 of the family's 1533-position model. The record is from RNAcentral.